This is a long non-coding RNA of Asparagus officinalis (garden asparagus), 303 nucleotides long. RefSeq lists it as uncharacterized. The transcript has 3 exons. Lineage: Eukaryota; Viridiplantae; Streptophyta; Magnoliopsida; Asparagales; Asparagaceae. The record is from RefSeq and is a predicted model, not a curated record.
AUUUUGAAGACCUAAUCUCGCGGGAGGCACGAAUCUCAAAGCCGCGGGAGUUCUUUGGGCGCCUUUUCGCCGUGCAAAGGCUGAGAGCUAGGGUUUCGGAAGGCGGGAGGUUAAGUUUCGGCUGUUUGUCAGCGAUGGUAGUUUUUUGUGGAAGGGUUAAGCUACCGCUGAUGGCUGCGUCCUUUCUUGUCCUGCUCCUCUUCGUCGUCCUCUUUUCUUCUCCUGGAAUUUCACCCCGGCGCUUUGAUCGCAUAACGGAACGGGAGGGAGAAACCCGUCACAAAUUCAGCCGCAGGCUUCUCG